RNAcentral lists this transfer RNA (72 nucleotides) under Candidatus Synechococcus calcipolaris G9. RNAcentral describes it as "tRNA-Lys". It matches the Rfam family "tRNA". From Rfam's summary of the family: Transfer RNA (tRNA) molecules are approximately 80 nucleotides in length. Lineage: Bacteria; Bacillati; Cyanobacteriota; Cyanophyceae; Synechococcales; Synechococcaceae. The record is from RNAcentral.
GGGUGACUAGCUCAAUGGUAGAGCAGCGGACUCUUAAUCCGGUGGUUCAGGGUUCGAGCCCCUGGUCACCCA